RNAcentral lists this ribosomal RNA (432 nucleotides) under uncultured bacterium. Its description in RNAcentral is "partial 16S ribosomal RNA". It matches the Rfam family "Bacterial small subunit ribosomal RNA", at positions 338 to 795 of the family's 1533-position model. The record is from RNAcentral.
CCUACGGGAGGCAGCAGUAAGGAAUAUUGGACAAUGGACGGAAGUCUGAUCCAGCCAUGCCGCGUGAAGGAUGAAGGCGUCAGCGUUGUAAACUUCUUUUGGAUGGGGACGGGUACCAUCAGAAUAAGCACCGGCUAACUCCGUGCCAGCAGCCGCGGUAAUACGGAGGGUGCGAGCGUUAUCCGGAAUCACUGGGUUUAAAGGGUGCGUAGGCGGUCUGAUAAGUCAGUUGUGAAAUUCCUCGGCUUAACCGAUGGACUGCGAUUGAUACUGUCAGACUUGAAUCAGGUUGAGGUAGGCGGAAUGUGACAUGUAGCGGUGAAAUGCUUAGAUAUGUCAUAGAACACCGAUUGCGAAGGCAGCUUGCUGGGCUUAAUUGACGCUGAGGCACGAAAGCGUGGGGAGCAAACAGGAUUAGAUACCCUUGUAGUC